GACGAACGCUGGCGGCGUGCUUAACACAUGCAAGUCGAACGAUGAAGCCUAGCUUGCUAGGUGGAUUAGUGGCGAACGGGUGAGUAAUACGUGAGUAACCUACCUUUAACUCUGUGAUAAGCCUUGGAAACUGGGUCUCAUACCGGAUACGACCAAUCUCCGCAUGGGGUGUUGGUGGAAAGCGUUAUGUAGUGGUUAUAGAUGGGCUCACGGCCUAUCAGCUUGUUGGUGAGGUAACGGCUCACCAAGGCGACGACGGGUAGCCGGCCUGAGAGGGUGACCGGCCACACUGGGACUGAGACACGGCCCAGACUCCUACGGGAGGCAGCAGUGGGGAAUAUUGCACAAUGGGCGCAAGCCUGAUGCAGCGACGCCGCGUGAGGGAUGACGGCCUUCGGGUUGUAAACCUCUGUUAGCAGGGAAGAAGAGAGAUUGACGGUACCUGCAGAGAAAGCGCCGGCUAACUACGUG
Molecule: ribosomal RNA, 471 nt
Filed under: uncultured bacterium
Lineage: Bacteria
Description: partial 16S ribosomal RNA
Rfam family: Bacterial small subunit ribosomal RNA
Source: RNAcentral